This 59-nucleotide transfer RNA is filed under the name Caudoviricetes sp. RNAcentral's name for it is "tRNA-OTHER". It matches the Rfam family "tRNA". Rfam says of the family: Transfer RNA (tRNA) molecules are approximately 80 nucleotides in length. Their secondary structure includes four short double-helical elements and three loops (D, anti-codon, and T loops). The record is from RNAcentral. Lineage: Duplodnaviria; Heunggongvirae; Uroviricota; Caudoviricetes.
GCCCUUGUAGCUCAAUGGCAAGAGCCUCAGGUGUGCCGGUCCAAAUCCGGCCAAGGGCA